This 1455-nucleotide unclassified non-coding RNA is filed under the name Hevea brasiliensis (rubber tree). The record is from RNAcentral. Lineage: Eukaryota; Viridiplantae; Streptophyta; Magnoliopsida; Malpighiales; Euphorbiaceae.
GGUAUACCAUUUUUUUAGAGCUCCUUCGCACGCACAAAGCUGAAUGUGGAACUAAGCAACUAGGGUUUUAGGGGAAGAUUUUCUCUGGUUCGCAUCAUAGAACACCACCACCACUUUCUAUCUGCAAUCCCAAGAGACAAAGAGAAUCAAAAUUUAGCCUUUUGGUGUCACUGUGAUCCUUCUGCAGUUAGGCUUUAUUUUUCCAAAGAUCAAUGGAGGAGCAAUUGCCAUCAUCUGUACAUGCCAUAGUUUUCAAAGAGUCUGAACACCUUGAAGGGAAAUGCAUUAAAAUUGAAGGUUAUGAUUUUAAUGAAGGAGUUAACUACUCUCAGCUUCUCAAAUCCAUGGUCUCCACUGGGUUUCAAGCAUCCAACCUUGGUGACGCCAUUGCAGUUGUGAACCACAUGCUAGACUGGAGGCUUGCUGAUGAGGAUAUAACAGAAGAUUGCAAUGAGGAGGAAAGGGACCCUGCUUAUAGAGAGUCUGUGAAAUGCAAAGUGUUCUUGGGUUUUACCUCAAAUCUUGUUUCUUCUGGUGUUAGAGAUAUAAUUCGCUAUCUUGUUCAGCAUCAUAUGGUUGAUGUAGUGGUUACAACUGCUGGUGGCAUAGAAGAAGAUCUUAUAAAAUGCCUUGCACCCACAUACAAAGGUGACUUUUAUCUACCUGGAGCUCAUUUGCGUUCAAAGGGAUUGAACCGCAUUGGUAACUUGUUGGUUCCAAAUGACAACUAUUGCAAAUUUGAGGACUGGAUCAUUCCAAUUUUUGACCAGAUGUUGAAGGAACAAAUUGAAGAGAAUGUUUCGUGGACACCAUCUAAAGUAAUUGGUCGAUUGGGGAAAGAAAUAAAUAAUGAGAGUUCAUACCUUUAUUGGGCAUACAAGAACAACAUUCCAGUAUUUUGUCCAGGUUUAACAGAUGGUUCUUUGGGGGACAUGUUGUACUUUCACUCCUUUCGCAGCCCAGGUCUAAUUGUUGACAUUGUUCAAGACAUCAGGGCUAUGAAUGGUGAAGCUGUCCAUGCAAGUCCUAGGAAGACUGGAAUCAUCGUUCUUGGAGGGGGGCUUCCUAAGCAUCACAUAUGCAACGCCAAUAUGAUGCGUAAUGGUGCAGAUUAUGCUGUUUUUAUCAAUACCGCACAAGAAUUUGAUGGGAGUGAUUCUGGAGCUCGUCCUGAUGAGGCUGUAUCAUGGGGAAAAAUUCGAGGAUCUGCUAAAACUGUCAAAGUGCAUUGUGAUGCAACUAUUGCUUUUCCCCUACUGGUUGCUGAAACAUUUGCUUCAAAGAGAAAUACAUCUGUCAAGACCAAGGUAAACAACUUUUAACCAGUCCUGGUGGUGAUUUAAUUGAGAUCCAUUAGUGAUUUGAAUUAUUUUGGGGGAACCACUUAUAAUUUAGAUAUCUAACACAAGACAGAAUGUAAUGCUCUCACAACACCUCUGUAGAAGAUAGGAUUUU